GAUGAACGCUAGCUACAGGCUUAACACAUGCAAGUCGAGGGGCAGCAUUUUAGUUUGCUUGCAAACUAAAGAUGGCGACCGGCGCACGGGUGAGUAACACGUAUCCAACCUGCCGAUAACUCGGGGAUAGCCUUUCGAAAGAAAGAUUAAUAUCCGAUAGUAUAUUAAAAACCGCAUGGUUUUACUAUUAAAGAAUUUCGGUUAUCGAUGGGGAUGCGUUCCAUUAGUUUGUUGCGGGUAACGGCCCACCUAGUCUUCGAUGGAUAGGGGUUCUGAGAGGAAGGUCCCCCACAUUGGAACUGAGACACGGUCCAAACUCCUACGGGAGGCAGCAGUGAGGAAUAUUGGUCAAUGGGCGAGAGCCUGAACCAGCCAAGUAGCGUGAAGGAUGACUGCCCUAUGGGUUGUAAACUUCUUUUAUAAAGGAAUAAAGUCGGUAUGGAUACCCGUUUGCAUGUACUUUAUGAAUAAGGAUCGGCUAACUCCGUGCCAGCAGCCGC
This 500-nucleotide ribosomal RNA is filed under the name uncultured bacterium. RNAcentral's name for it is "bacterial SSU rRNA". It matches the Rfam family "Bacterial small subunit ribosomal RNA", at positions 28 to 518 of the family's 1533-position model. The record is from RNAcentral.